Molecule: long non-coding RNA, 2311 nt
Organism: Sapajus apella (tufted capuchin)
Lineage: Eukaryota; Metazoa; Chordata; Mammalia; Primates; Cebidae
Exons: 2
Source: RefSeq, a predicted model, not a curated record
UAUAUAUAUAUAGAGAGAGAGAGUGCAGUAUAGCAUCAUGCUCAAGAGUGAAGACAGGUCAGCCAUAUGACCUGGGUUUAGUUUCUAAUCUGCCACUGACUGGUUUGGCCAUGAGCGUACUACUUAAUUCCAUUAUGUUAAGGUUGUACAGUACAGUAACCGACCCUUUCUCACAGGAUGAUUUUGAGGACUAAAUAGGCAUUUAGUGUAACCCUUGCUUUGUAGUAAGUGCACGGUAGUUCUUGCUAUUAAUUUUCCAGUGUCCUGAAAGGAUACAGCAAUAUUAAGCAGGGCAUUUUUCCUCACUUCAAAGCUCUCACCAUUUAGGGUGUACAUAUUUAAUAUUCAUAAUAAACCACCUGGUGCAUAUCAACAUCUCAUUUUAAAUAAAAGAAAACUGAAUCUCAGAGAUAAAGCUUUCUGUUGAAGUACAGUUCAUUCAUGAUUUAAGGAGUUAACAUUCCUUCUCAAUAUUUGCUUCUUAGUAUAUAAAUGCCCUCACUCUGAAUCUCUUCAGGACAAAAGGAGCAGGAUGUCUACUUGGGAAAUAAUUAAAGAAUCAAUUUGCAAAUUUGGUACAAAUACAGAAAGGAGAAGGGACAUGGAUUAGCGGCAUUCAAUAAGAAUUUCUUCAGGGCUUCCAUGCAAAGUAGCUGGGUCUUAGUGGAGGACAGUGAAGACUAAAAGAUGUGGUCCUGAUCAUAAGGAGGUUAUAAUCUCUCCAUGGCAACACACACACCCAUGACACAGUUGGGGCACAAUUUAAGAUCUUGUAUGUGUGAGAAAAUAAGGUCUUGAGUGGAACUGCUUCCUGAGGAAAUAGAACUUGAACUUGUUUGUGAAUACCAUUUUAGCUGAAAGGUCUGGAAUUUGAAUUUAUACCAUUGCCUGGCAUAUCACUGAUGCUUCUCUUCCAUUUUGUUCCGUGACUUAUAUAUUUGGAAAGCAACUGAGACCUAAUAAUUUGGACUAAUAUUUUGGAAUUGCCCACCUUGUAAAAUGUAUUGAGAUAAGUCAUCUUAAACUAGCAGUCUUAGCGAUUAUUGCCAUUUUGCAGAGAGAGGAACCAAAGCUUAAAGAGUUUAAAUAAGCAGUGCAGUUCCUUAAUUUCACACUGACUUUGGCUGAGUUCUUUUAAGGGGUAGUUUUAGAUCCUAAGCUUAAAUUUGCCAGCACGUUUAGUAUUGGAAAUUUUCUAUUGCAUGGAGUUUUUAUAAAUCACAUGCAAUCACUUUAACUUUUUUGACCAAAUUAUCUCAGAUACGUACGCCAGCCCAUGAACGCAGCUAGUUCUGUUUUGCUGUUCAGUGUCAUAAUAUUGCCUGGGGUGUAGGAGAAAAAUCCUUGACUAGCUAGAGUGCAUUCUUAGUCUCAGCAGCCCUUUCUCUGAGUAGGGAUGAAAGCUUGGUUUAUCUGACUCAUACACCAAACUACUAUGCUCUGUUUUCUGCAUUCUGGUUUCUGCAACAGUUCUGAUCCAUGUGCCAAUGACAAAUAAAGCCUGUCAAGAAGAACAGUGAUGGGAUGGAUUGUGGAUCUAUGGAUUCUAGCACUGGUACUUUGUGUGUUGACUGUGGCCUUGCAGUUCCUCAUGGAAGAGCUUACUGAUAACAUACGGUGGGCUGGGCCUACAGGAUACCUGGAAAAAAUGAAAUUAAAACAAACAAAAAAACAAUAUCCAUUAACCUCUGUGCUCACAGUCAUUAUCAUCAAUCAGUUGCUAGGUAGCUUUGCAUUUUGGCAACUAGGUUAAUUCCACUGUAAACACAAAUGGUUUGCUGGCUGAAGCUAUGGCUGAGUUUCUGAGUUUCGGGUCUGUCAGGCGGUUCAGCCAUUCCUGUCACAGUCAAAGGAUGGGAGGAUGUGUCCUCUCCUCUGAGUGUUCUCAAGUUGCAAAAACAAAUAUUUAAAAAAAGAAGAAAAAGACUAGGGCUGCACAUGGGGGGCAAUUUUUCCUCAUUGCAUUUGCAUGUAGAACUUACGUAUCACAAGAAUUAUUAAAAUACCUAGUAGGAAAGCAUUGUAAUGGGUGACCCAUUUUAAAAGGGCUACUGCAUUUCGGGUCCUCAGUAGGUUGAUCAGGCCAGGGCCAUGAGAUACUCCUGUGAGAAGACUGGAUGGACUUCUUUAUAAAAGCAAAAGGAAAUAUUCUGACCACUUUUAUAGAUUGAUUUAUGUACCAUUACUAAGAAAGUUUGUUUUCUACAAAACAAGGAACUGGAUUCAGUUUCUGAAUCACCCUGAGCCGGUGCCUGUGGACGUGGUAUAUUAGACAGGCUUUGGGUCAUUCAAUGUGCUAAGCACCCAGAGU